AACGAACGCUGGCGGCAUGCCUAACACAUGCAAGUCGAACGAGACCUUCGGGUCUUGUGGCGCACGGGUUCGUUACGCGACGGAACAUUCACUUGUGUUUGGCCUAACUUCCAGCAAGGGGUGCUUAUUCCGGAUGAUAUCUUCGGCCCAAAGAUUUAUCGCCUUUGGUUGGGCCUGUGUUGGAUUAGCUAGUUGGUAGGGUAAAAGCCUACCAAGGCGACGUUCCAUAGCUGGUCUGAGAGGAUGACCAGCCACACUGGGACUGUGACACGGCCCAGACUCCUACGGGAGGCAGCAGUGGGGAAUAUUGGACAAUGGGCGAAAGCCUGAGCCAGCAAUGCCGCGUAGGUGAUGAAGGCCUUAAGGUUGUAAAGCUCUGUUAACCGGGAUGAUAAUGACGGUACCGGAAGAAUAAGCGCCGGCUAACUACGUG
Molecule: ribosomal RNA, 433 nt
Filed under: uncultured bacterium
Lineage: Bacteria
Description: partial 16S ribosomal RNA
Rfam family: Bacterial small subunit ribosomal RNA
Source: RNAcentral